This 510-nucleotide ribosomal RNA is filed under the name Fusarium oxysporum. RNAcentral's name for it is "eukaryotic LSU rRNA". The stretch from base 161 to 314 matches the Rfam family "5.8S ribosomal RNA". The record is from RNAcentral. Lineage: Eukaryota; Fungi; Ascomycota; Sordariomycetes; Hypocreales; Nectriaceae.
GAGGGAUCAUUACCGAGUUUACAACUCCCAAACCCCUGUGAACAUACCACUUGUUGCCUCGGCGGAUCAGCCCGCUCCCGGUAAAACGGGACGGCCCGCCAGAGGACCCCUAAACUCUGUUUCUAUAUGUAACUUCUGAGUAAAACCAUAAAUAAAUCAAAACUUUCAACAACGGAUCUCUUGGUUCUGGCAUCGAUGAAGAACGCAGCAAAAUGCGAUAAGUAAUGUGAAUUGCAGAAUUCAGUGAAUCAUCGAAUCUUUGAACGCACAUUGCGCCCGCCAGUAUUCUGGCGGGCAUGCCUGUUCGAGCGUCAUUUCAACCCUCAAGCACAGCUUGGUGUUGGGACUCGCGUUAAUUCGCGUUCCUCAAAUUGAUUGGCGGUCACGUCGAGCUUCCAUAGCGUAGUAGUAAAACCCUCGUUACUGGUAAUCGUCGCGGCCACGCCGUUAAACCCCAACUUCUGAAUGUUGACCUCGGAUCAGGUAGGAAUACCCGCUGAACUUAAGCAU